This 498-nucleotide ribosomal RNA is filed under the name uncultured bacterium. RNAcentral's name for it is "partial 16S ribosomal RNA". It matches the Rfam family "Bacterial small subunit ribosomal RNA", at positions 30 to 523 of the family's 1533-position model. The record is from RNAcentral.
AUUGAACGCUGGCGGCAUGCCUUACACAUGCAAGUCGAACGGUAACAGGUCUUCGGAUGCUGACGAGUGGCGAACGGGUGAGUAAUACAUCGGAACGUGCCUAGUAGUGGGGGAUAACUACUCGAAAGAGUGGCUAAUACCGCAUGAGAGCUACGGAUGAAAGCAGGGGAUCGCAAGACCUUGUGCUACUAGAGCGGCCGAUGGCAGAUUAGGUAGUUGGUGGGAUAAAAGCUUACCAAGCCGACGAUCUGUAGCUGGUCUGAGAGGACGAUCAGCCACACUGGGACUGAGACACGGCCCAGACUCCUACGGGAGGCAGCAGUGGGGAAUUUUGGACAAUGGGCGAAAGCCUGAUCCAGCAAUGCCGCGUGCAGGAUGAAGGCCUUCGGGUUUUAAACUGCUUUUGUACGGAACGAAAAGCCCCGGGUUAAUACCCUGGGGUCAUGACGGUACCGUAAGAAUAAGCACCGGCUAACUACGUGCCAGCCGCCGCGGUAA